This 495-nucleotide ribosomal RNA is filed under the name uncultured bacterium. Its description in RNAcentral is "partial 16S ribosomal RNA". It matches the Rfam family "Bacterial small subunit ribosomal RNA", at positions 28 to 507 of the family's 1533-position model. The record is from RNAcentral.
GACGAACGCUGGCGGCGUGCCUAAUACAUGCAAGUAGAACGCUGAAGGAGGAGCUUGCUUCUCUGGAUGAGUUGCGAACGGGUGAGUAACGCGUAGGUAACCUGCCUGGUAGCGGGGGAUAACUAUUGGAAACGAUAGCUAAUACCGCACAAUAGCAGUUGUUGCAUGACAACUGUUUGAAAGGUGCAAUUUCACCACUACCAGAUGGACCUGCGUUGUAUUAGCUAGUUGGUGGGGUAACGGCUCACCAAGGCGACGAUACAUAGCCGACCUGAGAGGGGGGUCGGCCACACUGGGACUGAGACACGGCCCAGGCUCCUACGGGAGGCAGCCGUAGGGAAUCUUCGGCAAUGGACGGAAGUCUGACCGAGCAACGCCGCGUGAGUGAAGAAGGUUUUCGGAUCGUAAAGCUCUGUUGUAAGGGAAGAACGAGUGUGAGAGUGGAAAGUUCACACUGUGACGGUAUCUUACCAGAAAGGGACGGCUAACUACGUG